ACUGCCAUAUCCCUAAUCCUACGAAAAGAAAAAACAUUCUCCUAAUGUCACCUACGCCGCCGCAAGAUCCUCCCCCGCUGACAUGAUAUUAGCACCGGCGCCACCGGCCGUCCUCUCGCUGCUCUUGCUAACGAGUUUCAGUCGUCGGUUUGGGAGGCCGUCAUGCUGUUGUGGAGGGCUCCAAGCGUACUGCCGCAGUAUUUAUACGACUACCCUCCCUGGUGCAUCCCGUACAGCCGUACUUGCCUCCAUGUGCAGGAAACUAAAGGUAGAAAUUCGCCAUGUCGUUCUGAGGAGGAUUCUCCCAUCCGCAAGAACGGACCAGCAAAAAUCUCAAUCAACCAUACUUAUAGUGAGAACCGGCACACACAAGCGAGAACACAAGCACAUGGAAAGCCAUGCCCCUGAUCUCCAUGUUAUGCCCAGUCAUGGCUCAGAUUGAAAGAGGAAAGAUUCAUUUGUUGUACUAGAUGCAGUCGUCAGUGUGGGAGGCCGUCAUGCUGUUGUGGAGGGCUUCAAGGUGAAUACAUAUCUUUGGAGGAUUCUCGAUCAAGAAGCGAGGUUGCUCGACUGAUUUCUUACGUAAGCAUAACCAUGCAAAAUUAGUGUAAGUUGUUUAAAUUUAAAAAUAGUACAGAUUUAAUUAUUGUUUCAUUAUUCUGAUGCUUAAGAAAGUUAGACUAUUACUACACAAAACUUUAUUUCUAAUGUGGCAUGUGUAAUCUUUUCCUUUUGUUUUGAAAUAGUUAUGUGCGGUAAUUCAUUCUGAAAGAUAAGAGCAGGCUUAUCUGCCAUUAUAGAGGGCAUCCAGCUUAAAAUAAAUUGUUUAAAUGUGAGAUUACAUUUUAAAUUCAUUAUGAAAGACAUGAACAAACCAGUAUCAAUGAGUCUACUACAGUGUUAUUCGAGUAAAUAGUUUUAUGGCACUAUCAAUGAUUCUACUGCAGUGCUAUUCCAGCACAUGAGUGAGAGGGUGAUGAUUUCUUACUUCUAUUACUGAACAUGUAAUGUGGCUUUGCUAAAUGUUUAUAUCGUUCGGUAUGUGCGAUGUGUGUGCAAGGCAUCGACUAAUGUAGUAGCAUCAUUGAAAACAGCUCCGAGACACAAGCUAGGCAUGGUAUAUUGAACUUGAAAAGUGAUCCAUGACAGAUGGCGUAGGGACUCUGCUCUUGGCCUCUUAGUUGACACAGAGAACGCAGGUGUAAUAAGGAAGUACAUGCCGAAACCAGUAUGCACAAGGCCUUCAACCUUGAUGUAUACAUGUGAAUACAUUGUUGUGACUUGGAAAAGUUAAUGCUUGCUUCCGAAUAUUUUGUCAUAUGGUGGUCUUCUUAAAACCACAAUCUCAUUAUUCCUUUUCAUUGGAGCUUAACUAACCAACGAAUUUCUGAUUUGCUGCUUUCAAUUCUCAGAUAUUUUUUUCA
Triticum aestivum (bread wheat) is the source of this 1424-nucleotide RNA transcript. RefSeq lists it as uncharacterized. The transcript is spliced from 5 exons. NCBI's taxonomy places the organism in Eukaryota, Viridiplantae, Streptophyta, Magnoliopsida, Poales, Poaceae. The record is from RefSeq and is a predicted model, not a curated record.